AACGCGAAGAACCUUACCAACCCUUGACAUCCUGUGCUACAUCCAGAGAUGGAUGGUUCCCUUCGGGGACGCAGUGACAGGUGCUGCAUGGCUGUCGUCGGCUCGUGUCGUGAGAUGUUCGGUUAAGUCCGGCAACGAGCGCAACCCACAUCCCUAGUUGCCAGCAGUUCGGCUGGGCACUCUAUGGAAACUGCCCGUGAUAAGCGGGAGGAAGGUGUGGAUGACGUCAAGUCCUCAUGGCCCUUACGGGUUGGGCUACACACGUGCUACAAUGGUAGUGACAAUGGGUUAAUCCCAAAAAGCUAUCUCAGUUCGGAUUGUCGUCUGCAACUCGACGGCAUGAAGUCGGAAUCGCUAGUAAUCGCGUAACAGCAUGACGCGGUGAAUACGUUCCCGGGUCUUGUACACACCG
This 412-nucleotide ribosomal RNA is filed under the name uncultured marine bacterium. Its description in RNAcentral is "bacterial SSU rRNA". It matches the Rfam family "Bacterial small subunit ribosomal RNA", at positions 958 to 1392 of the family's 1533-position model. The record is from RNAcentral.